Dreissena polymorpha is the source of this 572-nucleotide long non-coding RNA. RefSeq lists it as uncharacterized. The record is from RefSeq and is a predicted model, not a curated record. NCBI's taxonomy places the organism in Eukaryota, Metazoa, Mollusca, Bivalvia, Myida, Dreissenidae. The transcript is spliced from 2 exons.
GAGGUAAGGCUGUUGGUGAUGAUGAUUGUGAUUAUGACAAGGAUUGUAAUGCUGAUAUGGAUAAUUCUGAUGAUGAUAAUGAGUCUCUGCCUGAGAACCAAAGACCAGAAAGAUACUUCCAGUACUACAUGGACAAGAUCACAAACCCUGCUCCUGCUUGAACUGUACAAAGCAAAUGUAGAUAAGUUCUACAACCCCCUGUUAAAAAAACUUUGUGGGAAGAAUUGUGUAAAUCUCUUAACAGUAAAGGUUUUUAAUAGCAAGCAGGUUGAAGGGAGAUGGAAAACCAUCGUGGCAGCUUAUUGUCGAGCUAAAGACAGCAACAGAGCGACGGGAUCAAAGAGCCAUAAUGUGAUACUAAAACAGAUUGUGAUGGAAUUUGACACUUAAAGCAAAAAUAGAUCUAACAUUCGAUCAUCAGCUCAAGCAUGGAAUGAUGACUUUGUGAUGAUUAGAAGUGAUCUAUGGAUUUCAAUGAAAGUAAACCAAUAAAAACAAACACAAUACCUUAACGUAUUGAUAUGUUAUGUCAUCAUCAUAAACAUUUUGAAAAUAAAUACCUUAAACAAAGA